Molecule: long non-coding RNA, 977 nt
Organism: Acanthochromis polyacanthus (spiny chromis)
Lineage: Eukaryota; Metazoa; Chordata; Actinopteri; Pomacentridae
Exons: 2
Source: RefSeq, a predicted model, not a curated record
CAGACACUCAGAGGCUUGCAGAGGUAAAUAGUAAUAAGUAGAGCAUCGAAUCCAUGGCUGUAUGAAUUAAUGUCAGUUACCUUGGCAACCACAGCCUGUGAAAUGAGACGCAAAGACAGCAAAGAAUGAGAAAAGGAAGGAGAGUGAAGAGAUGGACAAAGAGAACAAUGGUGCAGACUUUUAAAACACUAAAGUAAAGAUGAACGGUGGUGCUCUUCUCUUUCCAUCUCUGAGCUGAGAUGGAAACCAGAAAAGACUUCUCCUCCUCUUUUCCAGCUCUACAUCUGCGUGAGGCACACUGAUUUUCUUAACCAAGAAAGAAACUUUUACAAAACACUCUUCCGCUUCAGCGUGGUAGAUCUGAAAAUGUUAACUUUUGUGCACAGAGGAAGCAAUUUUGUGAUUGUGUUUGCAAGUUUACAGUUGGUUGCAGAUAUGUGACAGGACACACUGAGGAAUCAGGAAACAGUGACUUAAUCAUGACUCCGCUUCUCAGUGACGAAUCUUGCAUUUCUGCAGCAAAAAAUACACUUACAUGUCAGUAAGAUGAUCACUAGACAUCUGCAGUAAGAUGCUGCAGAUGUUUUAUCAGUCUGUGGUAGCAAGUGUCCUGUUUUAUGCUGCAGUCUGCUGGGGAGGCAGCAUAAAACAGAAGGAUGCAAGGCGUCUGAACAAACUGAUUAAAAAAGCUGGCUCUGUGGUUGGAAUCAGAUUGAACACAUUGGAGGAUGAGGUGGAGAGACGGGCACUGAGCAAGAUGGAGGCCAUUCUGACCAACAUGGAUCAUCCACUUCACAUCUGCCUCAAUGAGCAACAAAACAUCAGUGGACGGCUCCUAUCCCUGUGCUGCAAGACCGAAAGAUUUAGGAAAUCUUUCUUGCCAUCAGCAGUCAGGCUAUUCAAUUCAAAAUUAAACAGAUAAGAACCCUGACAACUGAAUUUCCCUUCGGGGAUGAAUAAAGUAAUUCUGAUUCUGA